GAACGCAUAGCCCAGUGGUAGAGCCCAUGCUUAGCACACAUGAGGGCAUGGGUUCAAUCCCCAGUACCUCCA
RNAcentral lists this transfer RNA (72 nucleotides) under Camelus bactrianus (Bactrian camel). It matches the Rfam family "tRNA". Rfam says of the family: Transfer RNA (tRNA) molecules are approximately 80 nucleotides in length. Their secondary structure includes four short double-helical elements and three loops (D, anti-codon, and T loops). The record is from Rfam by way of RNAcentral. Lineage: Eukaryota; Metazoa; Chordata; Mammalia; Artiodactyla; Camelidae. RNAcentral also lists the same sequence under 2 other names.